Molecule: long non-coding RNA, 1314 nt
Filed under: Nicotiana tabacum (common tobacco)
Lineage: Eukaryota; Viridiplantae; Streptophyta; Magnoliopsida; Solanales; Solanaceae
Description: long non-coding RNA (NTAB_LNC004132)
Source: RNAcentral
CACCCCGUUUUUCCGCGUAGGUUAGUUUUUGUCCCUUUUUAUUUCUUUUCUUUGGGUUUGUUAAAUUAGUUGAUUGAAAUUGGAGAGUAAAUUGGUUCUAUAAUGCUUGGUUGUUGAUCAUAGUAAGGUGGGUAACUGUAAUUCUCACAACUUAAUUCUAAUUGGAGGGUUUUCGGCUACAAAUUGAAACAUCACAAACUAAGAAAAACUAUGCACAUAAUUUGUUUGAUAAAUUGCCUGACCGAACUUUUUGAAAGGUCGUGCAAAGUCUAAGUAACAAACAUACUUCUAUGGAUAUAUGAACGUCUUUUAAGUGUAGGGUGGCCGUUUAGGGGUCUUUGCACUUAAAUUGCAUUCGUUCCGAAUGAAUGUCAACCCGUAGUUGACUUAGGCACGAGUCAUGUGCGGCUCGUGUGCAACUUUUACUCACUUGGUUUCCGAUUGUGCUAGUUAGUUUUGCAUGAAUGCAAGUGAAUCUAGUAGUCGCUUGUGACUCAUCUUGCACACGUAUGCUUAAGUAUUAAGUGUGGUGCACGAUUGAUAAGUGAAGAUUUUAACUACUUAUUAGCGGCUUUUAGCUUUUGUUUUAGUCCAAAAGCAUUUAAUUGCGUUCCCAAAAAUUAAUGAAAUGUGCUUAAUUGCAUGAAUAAUGGAAGAUGAACUCCCGACAUGAAAUCCAACUCAAGAAGGAGUAAUCUGAACUCAAGGACAUAAAAAGCACAAAAGCUCAGAAGUGUGGACCGCAGAAUAUCAUCUGCUGCAGCAGGUUAUGAAGUAAAAGCCAUCAGAGUUUGGUGCAAAGUGCGGUCCGCACAUGAAUUGUGCGACCGCAAAAGCUAAGCCAAAGCAAAGUUCAGAGAAGGUGCAUUCCAAGUCCCCCAGAAGUGCGGACCGCACAAUAAUUGUGUCGGCCGCAGAAGAAGAGCUAUGCGACCGCAGAUAUAAAAGUGCGGACCGCAGAAGAGCAAGGUGCGGCCGAACAUGAAAAAUACGGACCGCAGAAAGAGUGCAUUGCGGCCGCAUAUCAGAAUUAUACGGCCACAGACUUCCGAUCCUGACAAAUUAAAGAAAAGUGCGGACCACACAUGUGCGGCCGCAGAACCUCUCGAAGGGCAUUUUUGUCCGAAAUUUUUAGCUCUGUAUAAAUAGACGAGUUUCACAUUUUUAGGUCAACUUUUGACAUCAGCUGCUAUAGUAGUCGUUUCCUUUUACUCUUUUUAGUAGUUUUUCACAUUUUAAGCUAUUUUAACCUAGAUUUUAUCAUAUUAAUCUUACAAUAUGAAUUUAAUUAUCAUUUCUUCUUCUAUUUCUUCU